CUAGCCCCCUCCGUAUUACCGCGGCUGCUGGCACGGAGUUAGCCGGGGCUUAUUCUCCCGGUACUGUCAUUAUCAUCCCGGGUAAAAGAGCUUUACAACCCUAAGGCCUUCAUCACUCACGUGGCAUUGCUGGAUCAGGGUUGCCCCCAUUGUCCAAUAUUCCCUACUGCUGCCUCCCGUAGGAGUCUGGGCCGUGUCUCAGUCCCAGUGUGGCUGAUCAUCCUCUCAGACCAGCUAAGGAUCGUCGCCUUGGUAAGCCUUUACCUUACCAACUAGCUAAUCCUACGCGGGCUCAUCCAUGGGCGAUAAAUCUUUGGACUUUCGUCAUCAUCCGGUAUUAGCGUUCGUUUCCAAACGUUAUUCCGAACCCAAGGGCAGAUUCCCACGCGUUACGCACCCGUGCGCCACUAGACCCCGAAGGAUCUCGUUCGACUUGCAUGUAUUAGGCAUGCCGCCAGCGUUCGUUCUGAGCCAGGAUCAAACUCUAAUCGUCGACCUGCAGCCCGGGGG
This 510-nucleotide ribosomal RNA is filed under the name Insertion vector pWSMK-T. RNAcentral's name for it is "partial 16S ribosomal RNA". The record is from RNAcentral.